This 254-nucleotide ribosomal RNA is filed under the name uncultured bacterium. RNAcentral's name for it is "partial 16S ribosomal RNA". It matches the Rfam family "Bacterial small subunit ribosomal RNA", at positions 524 to 776 of the family's 1533-position model. The record is from RNAcentral.
UACGUAGGGACCGAGCGUUGUUCGGAAUUACUGGGCGUAAAGAGCGCGUAGGCGGCACGGUACGACCGGUGUGAAAGCCCCCGGCUCAACUGGGGAGGGUCACCGGUAACGGCCGAGCUAUGAGUGCAGGAGAGGGAAGUGGAACUCCGGGAGUAGCGGUGAAAUGCGUAGAGACCCGGAGGAACACCAGUGGCGAAGGCGGCUUCCUGGUCUGCAACUGACGCUGUGGCGCGAAAGCUAGGGGAGCAAACGGG